This 1596-nucleotide long non-coding RNA is filed under the name Lathyrus oleraceus (garden pea). RNAcentral describes it as "Pisum sativum (pea) long non-coding RNA (PSAT_LNC031009)". Lineage: Eukaryota; Viridiplantae; Streptophyta; Magnoliopsida; Fabales; Fabaceae. The record is from RNAcentral.
CUUUCAUCUUCGCCUCCUCUCAUCAUCAAUCGCGGAAGAAAAAGCUCCUCACGUUGCAUCACAAUGUCCACGCGAUUCAAUGUUCUAAACGCUUCAGGAAAACACAACUGCGAUGUCGGGGCAAGCUCGAUUAUUCUUCAUCAGACGCGAAAUUGAGGAUGGAAAAAUGAAGAACACGACUUCGAAUUGCAAUCCUUCUCUAAAAUCAACAUCAGUAUCCAAACAUGAGUCAUCAUUUGCAUGCCUAAAAACAGAGAACACGAAAUUGAAAUUGAAGCGAGAAUCUCACCGGAUGGAAGCUUCGAUGCGAAUAAGUAUGAAUUCCCUCCCUUCGAUUUCAAUUUUCUUAUCUUCUUCUUCCUCCUCUGUUUGAUUUCGACUUGCGGUAGAGUUGCGAUGAAUCAUUCCGAGAGAUUGUUGUGUGACUUGAGAUUCAGCUUUAAGAAUUUGUGAAUUAUGGUGGAUGAGUGAAUGAACAGGUACAAUUCUGCAGAUCGAAAAAAUGAGUGGGAAAUUUGGUGAGAAAUUGAGUAGUAAAAAAUGAAAUGUGAGGGUUUAUGUUUGAUUUAAAGAAGUGUGCAGAAAAAAAUGAAAGGGAAUCGAGAUUUACAGAUUAAAAAAUGAGAGGGAAUCGAGAGAGAGGUUUUGAAUGAGGAAUGUGGUUUAAAUAUAGUGAGGUGAAUUCACAGUGAGAAAGUUAUGUUAGUUUAGAAUUCUGUUAGAAGGUUGUUCUAGGAUUGAAUUCAAUUAUGAGUUUGAAACUCUGUUAAUAACUGUAAUAAAACUGUUAGGUUGUUUAGGAUUGAAAAUGGAUCCUAUUAUUUUCUGUUAGAAUUAUUGUUAAUUUAUGUUACUUUUGUUAUCAUGCUUGGAUAUGAAUGUUAGUAAAUGGAUUAGAAAUCAAUAAAACUUGUUAUGUUAGGACUUGCUGGAUUUCUGACUUGCUAUGUAGUCAAGGCAAACAUGGAAGGUUAGGGAAAUUAAGUUAGCUUUGGAUGAAUUAUUUUGAUAGUUAGUUGUUGAUUUUGUUAGAACUGUUAUGUGAAAAUUUUAGGUAUGUUAUACGUUUCAUGAUUCUUGGCUAGUUAACAUGUUAUUAAAAUGCAACCUAUGUGACAAUAUCAUGAAUGUGAAAUGUACAUCUGAUGUUAUUGAAUGCUUGAAAUUCUGUUAGUGAGCUUGUAUGCUUGAAUGAAAUGGUUAUUGAAUCGUAGACUGUUUUUCUUGGAGGAUGGGUUAUGUGAUUGGAUGGAGGGAGGCAUGACCAAAUGGAAAUGUAUAAAGCAUAGGAGAUCAAUGACGGGCUUCCGAAAUUCCAAGCUUCUUCCCUUUUGAUACGAGCUAUAUAAAUAGCACGGGAUGGUGCUAACAUGAUGUAAUAAUAUUAGGACAUGGAUUAGCUUAUCUUCUUAUGCUUGUAAUGGAAAAAAAAAUCACUUAUAAUCAUUUAUGUCAAAAAAAUGCUUAUGUAAUGCAAUUUAAAUUGUGAUUCUUUUGAAAGUGUUGUCGCCCGAGGUGAAUGCCUCGUAAGCUUCAAUGUUUCAAAGGGAUCUAUGACUCUAAGAACCUUUUAGAACAUUGGAUAUUUUUGGUCAA